GGUAAAAAAAUAAGCUACACGCUGUUUUCCUUUUAAUAUAGAGCAAGCACGGACCUAUACGAGUUGAGUCCUCACAAACUUUAAGUGCACUUCUGCGGAUCCAGCCGAGAGAAGCUCAGAACAGAUAAUCACGGAGAAAAUCAGCCGACAGCCAAAAAAGAGUCAGCAGAGCCAUCAACUCCCGCGUCUGAUCCCCGGACGUCGAGACGACCAUGAAUGUGGUCAUCAGACUCCUGGUGGGACUUCUCUCCUUGAGUGAAUCCUUCCGACCAGAAGCCGAGGCCAGCAGCAACAGUUAUUGCAGGCAUAUUGAUUUCCCUGAAGGAGCGCGAAUCACUGCCCAAGGGAGCGGGGAAAAAAAGUACUGCGGAUCAGGUAUUGGCUCGUUCCUUGUCUUGGAAAAGAACCGAUUACUUCGCCUGCAUUGUCAACCUGGGAAUUUGAGAGCUAUGGUGACAGUCUCGGAUGGGACAAAGAAUAAACGCCGAGAUAUCUUUAGCCGUAAGGAGGUUUGCACCGUAGAAGAGGGUUAUAUCACCACCGCGGACACGGCGAAAAUUCUCACCGAUGCUCUCAUGGACACCUGGGUGCCUUACGACGAUACUUAUUGCAACUCUGAGCACUACUUCAACUACUUGGCCCGAGGCAUAGUCAAAGACGUUAGCGACAACAAGGUGACGGAAACUUGUCCAAUUUUCAAGCCUAUCCCACGGAAAUUCGUCCUGCCUCUCGCAUCAUCAAGCUUCCGACUACGCGGGAAGAAUGUGGAGUACCCGUGGCCUACGGCGCAGGGAACUGAAAGGAAAGUACUUUCAGUCGAAACGGUGAACAGAGAGGUGCCAGUUACUUUUCCUGACGAAAUGGAUGGAGAAAAAGGUCGCGGUGAGAAAGGGAAAAAUAUCGCAGGUGUUUGGGUUCCUAAAGACCUAGGUAUACAUGGAGAUGGUGGUGGUUUUAGGCAUGAAACGCCAUCCAAUGGUGGGUUUGCUUCCAAGAGUGGGUCUCCUCCCAGGAGUGGGUCUUUACGCAAGGGUGGGUCUCCACAUAAAGGUGGGUCUCCACGCAAGAGUAGGUCUCCACGCAAGGGUGGGUCUUCUUCCAAGGGGGAAUCUCCUUCCAUGGGUAAGAAUUUACCUAGGAGCGGGAGCGAAGUGAGCGGAAGUGACGUGAGCGACAGUUACAUGAGCGACGGCGGAGCGAGCGACGGUUACGUGAGCGACGGCGGAGCGAGCGACGGUUACGUGAGCGACGGCGGAGCGAGCGACGGUUACGUGAGUGACAGCGGAGCGAGCGCCGUGAGCAGAAACUCGGAUGGGACUCCCAAACCGAAAAAGAAGAGUUUGGGUAGGAGAGUGAAAAAAGCGGUGUUAACCAGAAUAGGCAGGUCCUUCAAUUUUUCACCACGGCGAUAAAAAAAUGGGUAACCAAGAUUGAAACAUUUCAAAAGUUUAAAAGGCGGUUGAACGAGACUGUUUCCAUAACGUUGCAUUCAUUAAACCCAACUUUCUUUUCAGAGAUUUUUUUAUUAUUUUUUUUUUUUUUGUAAUUAAAGUAAAGUAGAUUACAACACAUUUUCAGACCUUACGGGUCUUUAAAAAUUUGAAUUUAACAUGUAACAGACAGUAUUACAGUGAUGUACCACUUUAAGCAGAUAAAAAAAUAUGUACAAAAAUUGGUAAGAAAAUUGAUGAGAGGAAUGGAAGUGAAGAUUAUUUUCAGCUAUGUAAAAUAAAACGUAUAAAACAUUUAAAACUGAGCGAAAACUAAUAACAACAUAUCACAGUAUGUGAUAAACAAAGAGAAGCCGGAAAGUAUGGCGCCAAAGGCAAGUAGUAGUAGUAGUAGUAGUAGUAGUAGUAGUAGUAGUAAAAGUAUUAGUAAUAGUAGAGGUAGUAUUGGUGGAGGUGGUGGUAGUGGUGGUAGUGGUGGUAGUGGUAGUAGUGGUAGCAGUGGUAGCAGUGGUAGUAGUGUUAGUAGUGUUAGUAGUAGUAGUAAUAGCAGUACUACUACUACUAGUAGUAGUAGUAGUAGUAGUAGUAGUAGUGGUAGUAGUAAUAGUAGUAGUAAUCGUAACAGUAGUAUUUGUCGGAGUGUAGUAGUAGAGGUAGUAGUGGUAGUGGUGGUAAUGGUGGUAGUAGUGAUAGUAGCAGCAGCAGUAGUAGUAGUAGUAGUAGUAGUAGUAGUAGUAGUAAUAGUAGCAGCAGUAGUAGUAUAGUAGUAGUAGUAGUAGUAGUAGUAGUAGUAGUAGUAGUAGUAGUAGUAGUAGUAGUAGUAGUAGUAGUAGUAGUAGUAGUAGUAGUAGUAGUAGUAGUAGUAGUGGUGGUGGUAGUAGUAGUGGUAGUAGUAGUAGUAGAAGUAGUAGUAGUAGUAGUAGUAGUAAUAGUAAUAGUAGUAGUAGUGUAGUAGUGGUAGUAGAAGCAGUGGUAUGUCAGAUUUAUUAGGCUCUAAAGCAUCUGAUGACUAUAAGGAUGAGGCACCUGAAGUGAGUCUAAAUAUACAAUUUCGAGGUGCCACGAAAAGGGUACAUACAUUUUGGCAGUCAACGGAAACAGAAAAAUAAGUUUCAGAAAGUCCAAGAACAUGAGCUUUGAGAAUAAAUAUUAAAAAAUGGGCAAAUAAUUUUUAUUUUUUUUUUAACGUAUUCUAAUAACUGACCUACGUGAAACAUAAAUAUCUAUCUACAUGAUUGACUGAUGCUGCUGUAUUCAGCAAAUUCACUUUGUCAUGGAUACGUUUAAUUAAUGCGAGUUGAAUAGAAGUUGAAAAACCCACGAGUAUGUCUAAUCAUUAAUUAAUAAAAGUGCACAUAGACGCAAUAAUUCUUGACAGUUUCUCAUUGUCUGUGUACUUUAAGGGAGUUGUUGUAGUAAUUUACCGCUAGAGUUUUUUAUAAUACCACUUAGUUUUGUAGCCUUCCUAUAAUUUUCAGUCAAGAAAUAGUAAAUAUUUGUAGAAUUUUGAGUAAGAACUUGACAUUAAGAUAAAAUGUACGAUUGGGCCAACGUAGGCAUAUAAUUUCCAAAUCAGAGUAAGAUCAAACUAAACAUAGCUUGAAUUUACAUAAUCUGAAAUACGUUUAUAGAUGAAUGGUGAAUAGCAGAUACCGGAAAAAUGAUAAAAUGAGUAAUUUAAGUAUUAUAAAUAACGAGAAAUUCCCUUCCCCUCACCGAAGAAUGGAAUAAACGUUUUAACUAUAUUCAAUUUUUCUUUUUAUUGCUAAGAAACUGAAUUAAGUUGCAGGUUCUAAUAGGAAAGCUCUCUGAUGAUUAGAAUAUGUUUAUUAGACGUAAGGACGAUAGACCUAUUACGAUAGAUUACAUGAUAUGAAGUAACGUACUGUAAGAAGUACUUCGAUGGUACUUUUUUUCAGUAACAUGGCACUUUAACUAAACAUGGUAACUUUCGGCUUUCAACAUGAAAUAUUUGGAUGAAAAUGAACAUGUUUCUUUCCACGCGCUUAUUUUUGUAGUAAUGAGUUCUCUUCGAAUACUAGGAACAAAACAAAGUAUUUAAAGAUGAUCAUGAUUAAUAGUAAAAGCUCGAACUUUCAUAGAUCAAAUGAAAAAUUCUAUAAAGCGGCUGUUGCAAACCGUUGCCAAGAUUUUUAGCCUGCUCGACGUGUCGCCAACCUUGCAAUAACAGAGGCUGAAUUCAAAAAGAUAGUUUCAAAUGUAAUGUACAAAAUUGGUGUCAAAACUGAGUAUAUGCGCCCACCAAUGUGAUUUGAACUAAAUUGACGAAAUAGAACCAUAUUAUCUGCAUUUUGAAGCAUCUGCAUGCGACGUCCGCCAUUUUUUCCCCUAAGAGCUCCAUAAAGUUCGAUGGCUAAGUUGAUUAGAAGUGAAUCCUCCAGUAGUCAUACUCUGUCCAUAAAGAUACUCUAACCCCGUCUAGUUUUUGGGAAAUUGAUCAAAGAAUUUCAUAAGAAGAAAUAGAUAAUAUCGUUCUAACUGAAUAUUAGUAGGCACCACAAGUGAAUGUUUUACAAUACAAACUUGCUAAUUGAGCACACAGAGAGGCAAAAUCACGGGAGUUUAUGAGAAAUGACACUUGCCGCAAAAAUUUGAUGAUGGAUGGUGCGCACCAGUCACCAUUUGAUCGGAAAUUGAUGGAAAUUUGAGCGUGCAGCCAGGCCUUAGUGUAAAACAAGCGAUUCUUGACCAGACAGCUUGCCUUAUCGAAAAUCAGUAUUUUAUGAUGGAUUUGAAUGGAGAUAAACAGCUUUGCUGCCUUACAAAAUCGCCACAGUAUCGACAAAAACACUAUAUCGACAAAAAUGUGAAUCUCGUUUGUAGUGAUACAAAAUCUCCUUUUUUAUUAUACUUUAUUGAAGAGAACAAACCAACACUAUUACUUGAAAUUCUCACAGAAUAUUCUUCACACAGAGAGGCAAAAUCAGAGGAGUUUAUGAGAAACACUUGAGUAUGUUUUCUCUUAAACAAUAAAUUAUGAAAGAAAUGAAUAAAUAAAUAAGUAAAUAAUAAAUUGUGUUUCCCCGCGGCGAGAACAGAGAUAGGGAUUCUGGCAGUUUCACCGUCGAUGCGUGAUGUAUGACUGUAUCAAAACUCAACAGUAAACUAAAAUUGGAUGAAACAUUGAUGCUGUUUCCGAUGGAAUUGUGGUUCUGCGUAUUUAAAUUCUCAUUGUACGUACUUUUUUUCAGUGAUUUAAGAUUUCGUAUUUUUUCAUGAUUCCUUUUUGAACCCAACUCGAGGUUAUUUAUAUUAAAUUGAUUAUUCUUCUGUAUGAUGUAUGAAUUAAAUUACUUUCU
Molecule: long non-coding RNA, 4771 nt
Filed under: Bemisia tabaci
Lineage: Eukaryota; Metazoa; Arthropoda; Insecta; Hemiptera; Aleyrodidae
Description: lncRNA ENSSSA1NGG001980
Source: RNAcentral